Molecule: long non-coding RNA, 799 nt
Organism: Etheostoma spectabile (orangethroat darter)
Lineage: Eukaryota; Metazoa; Chordata; Actinopteri; Perciformes; Percidae
Exons: 2
Source: RefSeq, a predicted model, not a curated record
UGCAUCAUCAAAAGCCAUGCUGUUGUGAGUUGCAGUCAGGUGUCUCCGUUGUUGUCUCAUGUGUUGACGGGGAUGUUUUUCCCGGCGCACAUGUUCUUUAUCAUCUACGGCCCGUUUCACAUUCAUACAGCUACUUUGCAUUCAUUCCCACCUGGCCGGUGCAAGCAGUCGUGCUCAGCUGGCCGCCGGGACAUCGAGGCAGAUAAGAUGCACCUCUGUGGUGGCUGCUGGGGGUGAGGACGCCCUUCAUAUGUCUCCUUGCAUUACUCUCCCUCUGCAUUACCAGCAAAGCGUGGAAUAACUCGCCAACAGAAUCAGCAGACACCUGUUUACAAGUCCCAGCACCGGCGGAGAUAAAUGAAAUCAAUACCCCGGCUGCCGUGCAAUUUCUCUGUCGCGCCGCCGUCCACAAGCUUAUAUCACCGCACGUCUUUAAAGUGCAGAACUGAUUAUGAAGCACAUUGCAGAUCUGCUUACUUGAAAAAUUGGUAAUUAUAGGCAGCAGAGUGUGGUAUUGGUGGAGUAGAGAUACUGUAAGUCGUGAACCAUCUUUUGAAAUUGUUACGGUAAGCAGAGAGGAAGCGCCAUGCCUCAUAAUCAAUGCUCAUCCUUAAAGCUGGUAAUAGCUGGGAGGGACUUCACAGAAACAGACCAACUUCAUCUUUGUUCUGUUGAGACCUGAAUCUAUAACAUAUUAAGGAGAAAAAAAAAAACACAAGAUUAAUACUGUUUUUUUUAACUUCUGUAUUGCUUUUCAAGGCAAUCCAACAUAAAGUCAAAUGAUGUACAGUAUAAUGGA